Molecule: microRNA precursor, 157 nt
Filed under: Pelobates cultripes (western spadefoot toad)
Lineage: Eukaryota; Metazoa; Chordata; Amphibia; Anura; Pelobatidae
Source: RNAcentral
GCAGACACAUUCCAGUCAAUCAGCAGCAGACCCUCCCUCCCAGACCCUCCCACCUCCUGGACAGCAUCCAUUUUGAAGCUGCAUUCUUAGUGAGCUGUCCAGGAGAUGGGAGGGUCUGGGAGGGAGGGUCUGCUGCUGAUUGGCUGGAAUGUGUCUG